CCGCGACGUCUGAUGUUAGGGACUAGAACUGAGAUCUCUGCUGUGGGCCACCUUCUUCUCUGCUGAUCUCUUCCUGGGACUUCCAGACACAGAGACCUCAGUAGGAGCUGCUGCUUCCAAGAAGGGAAAGAAGAGCCAGCAUUGCAUGGCAUACCUGGGGUACAGAUGAGUGUAAGGAAUGAAAAUUUAAUAAGGUGUUUUCCAGAGGUUACAUGACAUGUAAUGCCACAACAGAUUGACUACAGAAGCAGAGACAGGAAAGAAGACAGAGACAUAGGGAAGAUGGCCAUGGGAAGACAGAAGCAGAGAUUGGGGUGAUGUGUCCACAAGCCAAGGAACACCAAGAAUUGCCAGUAGCCACCAGAAGCUGAAAGAGACAAAGGAAGAGUCUUCCUUGGAGUCGUCAGGAGGAGUGUGGCCCUGCUGAUAUGUUGACUUCAGACUUCUAGCCUCCAGGACUGUGAAAGAAUAAAUUUCUGUGGUUGUAAGCCACUAAGUUUGGAUAACUUUUAAUGACAGCCCUGGGAAACUAACACAGGCCCAAUUCUCCCCUCUUUUGUCCUGUGACUCUUACUCUUCAACCUUCUCACUCUUCCCAGAGGGUACCUGAAUACUGUAAUACUGUACCAGACCGAUGGCCACCUGAUAUGGGCUCUGAGCAAGGUAAGAAUUCCAACCCAUGUAGUAAAUAUCGGUAUCUAAAUAUAUAUUAAGAGAAGUCUUCAUAUUGUCCUCACACCGUAAGUGAGUGAUCUUGUACAACAUCUGGUGUGCAAUCACUCCACUUUGAAAAUCACUAGGGAGACACUGCUAAAAUUUCAAGAUGUAUCUGUUUGAGCCUUUCCUCAAAAGUUCUAUCAGAUAAUAUCCUAAGGCCACACAGCAGCAAGUUGUUGUUCUUUAAAGAGCUGAGAAAAAUAGGAUGUGGGGAAAAACAUGGGACCAAAACAUGGUGUUUGCAGAAUGUGGAGCAGGGGACAUGGACCCUUAAGUUAAAAUCAUGGCCCAGGAUAUGGCCUAGCCUAUGUAUACAAAUCACUAACAUAGCUCUUCAGCAGUACACAAUCUAAUCUUAAUAAAUUUGAAAAAAAUGUUUCUACCUCUUUUCAGAUAGAAUUAUGUCAUUACUGCAUUUUAUUUUAUUUUAAUUUUUUUUUAGAGACAGGGUCUCACUCUGUUUCCUGGGCCAGAGUGCCAUGGUGUCAUCAUAGCUUAGUCUCAAACUCCUGGCCUCAAGCAGUCCUCCCACCUCAGCCUCACAAAUAGUUGAGAUUACAGGCAUAAGUCAC
RNAcentral lists this long non-coding RNA (1289 nucleotides) under Homo sapiens (human). RNAcentral's name for it is "HSALNT0074586". Lineage: Eukaryota; Metazoa; Chordata; Mammalia; Primates; Hominidae. The record is from RNAcentral.